Long non-coding RNA from Anolis carolinensis (green anole), 476 nucleotides. RefSeq lists it as uncharacterized. Lineage: Eukaryota; Metazoa; Chordata; Lepidosauria; Squamata; Anolidae. The transcript has 2 exons. The record is from RefSeq and is a predicted model, not a curated record.
UUAUAGGGUGGUAGAGUCUCCUUCUCUGGAGGUUUUCAAGCAGAGGCAGCAUGACCAUUUGUCAAGAGGGCUUUGGUUUUGGUGGGGAGGGCUUAUAGUCUCUCCUUUCUUUCCCAAGGUAGGAGCAGCAGCAAAGGCCAGUCUUUUUGGAAAAUGCGGGGGGGGGGGGGCUGAUCCCCAAGAAGGAAGGAAGAGAGGAAGGAAGGAAGAGAUGAAGGAAGGAAGAGAGCAAGGGCAGUUGGGAUUUUUGGGAUUUCCACCCAUGGAAACACAAUGGACUGCUCUAACCUUUCUUGAGAAGAGUGUUCUAAUGACAAGGUGGAUCCAUCAAGAAGGCUUUCUCUCAAAUCCCAUCUGAUGUGUCUAAUAUUCUAAUAGAUGCUUUAUCAUUUUGUUAUUUUUUCAUACAUAAUCUGCUGCCUUGGCAAGUAUCUGAAACUCUUCUUUAUGCAUUAAUAAUACAGUGUGAAUAGUUA